GAUGAAGAACGUAGCGAAAUGCGAUAAUUAAUGUGAAUUGCAGAAUUCCGUGAAUCAUCGAGUCUUUGAACGCACAUUGCGCCUCAUGGCAUUCCGUGAGGCAUGCCCAUCUCAGCGUUAGAAAAUAUUCUCAAAUUUUAGUUUUGUGCUAAAAUUUGGAUCAUGUCAAGGAAGCUAUUACUAUUAUUGUGAUCGCUCUUUGGAAAUUGAUAGGUCUUUGAGUUGCUACUCAUAGAACGUGAUGAAUCUUUCUUCGUUCUAUUGUAAUUCACUCUGGUAGUCAUAAAACUUGUAUGCCUGUGGCAUAUCUUGUAAUUUGACCUGAGAUUGGGUAGGGAUACCCGCUGAACUUAAGCAUAUCAAUAAGCGGAGGA
Molecule: unclassified non-coding RNA, 374 nt
Filed under: soil metagenome
Description: partial contains internal transcribed spacer 2 and large subunit ribosomal RNA
Rfam family: 5.8S ribosomal RNA (bases 1-120)
Source: RNAcentral